CUGAAUCAGCAUGUGUGUUAGUGGAAGCGUCUGGAAAGGCGCGCGAUACAGGGUGAGAGCCCCGUACACAAAAGCGCACAUGCUGUGAGCUCGAUGAGUAGGGCGGGACACGUGGUAUCCUGUCUGAAUAUGGGGGGACCAUCCUCCAAGGCUAAAUACUCCUGACUGACCGAUAGUGAACCAGUACCGUGAGGGAAAGGCGAAAAGAACCCCGGCGAGGGGAGUGAAACAGAACCUGAAACCGUGUACGUACAAGCAGUGGGAGCCCCACCACUAAGCCAGUGGUGAACUCCACAUACGCAUCCUUUGCGGAAGAUGCGGUUAACGGAGCGAAAGCGACGUUCAACCUCAGAAGAAGCAGAGGGGGCUUAGUGGUGGGGUGACUGCGUACCUUUUGUAUAAUGGGUCAGCGACUUAUAUUCUGUAGCAAGGUUAACCGCAUAGGGGAGCCGAAGGGAAACCGAGUCUUAAUUGGGCGUUAAGUUGCAGGGUAUAGACCCGAAACCCGGUGAUCUAGCCAUGGGCAGGUUGAAGGUUGGGUAACACUAACUGGAGGACCGAACCGACUAAUGUUGAAAAAUUAGCGGAUGACCUGUGGCUGGGGGUGAAAGGCCAAUCAAACCGGGAGAUAGCUGGUUCUCCCCGAAAGCUAUUUAGGUAGCGCCUCGUGAAUUCAUCUCCGGGGGUAGAGCACUGUUUCGGCUAGGGGGCCAUCCCGGCUUACCAACCCGAUGCAAACUGCGAAUACCGGAGAAUGUUAUCACGGGAGACACACGGCGGGUGCUAACGUCCGUCGUGAAGAGGGAAACAACCCAGACCGCCAGCUAAGGUCCCAAAGUCAUGGUUAAGUGGGAAACGAUGUGGGAAGGCCCAGACAGCCAGGAUGUUGGCUUAGAAGCAGCCAUCAUUUAAAGAAAGCGUAAUAGCUCACUGGUCGAGUCGGCCUGCGCGGAAGAUGUAACGGGGCUAAACCAUGCACCGAAGCUGCGGCAGCGACACUGUGUGUUGUUGGGUAGGGGAGCGUUCUGUAAGCCGUUGAAGGUGUCCUGUGAGGGGUGCUGGAGGUAUCAGAAGUGCGAAUGCUGACAUAAGUAACGAUAAAGCGGGUGAAAAGCCCGCUCGCCGGAAGACCAAGGGUUCCUGUCCAACGUUAAUCGGGGCAGGGUGAGUCGACCCCUAAGGCGAGGCCGAAAGGCGUAGUCGAUGGGAAACGGGUUAAUAUUCCCGUACUUGGUGUUACUGCGAAGGGGGGACGGAGAAGGCUAUGUUGGCCGGGCGACGGUUGUCCCGGUUUAAGCGUGUAGGUGUGUGUUCCAGGUAAAUCCGGUUCACUUUAACACUGAGGCGUGAUGACGAGGCACCACGGUGCUGAAGCAACAAAUGCCCUGCUUCCAGGAAAAGCCUCUAAGCAUCAGGUAACAUCAAAUCGUACCCCAAACCGACACAGGUGGUCAGGUAGAGAAUACCAAGGCGCUUGAGAGAACUCGGGUGAAGGAACUAGGCAAAAUGGUGCCGUAACUUCGGGAGAAGGCACGCUGACACGUAGGUGAAGUGAUUUACUCAUGGAGCUGAAGUCAGUCGAAGAUACCAGCUGGCUGCAACUGUUUAUUAAAAACACAGCACUGUGCAAACACGAAAGUGGACGUAUACGGUGUGACGCCUGCCCGGUGCCGGAAGGUUAAUUGAUGGGGUCAGCGCAAGCGAAGCUCCUGAUCGAAGCCCCGGUAAACGGCGGCCGUAACUAUAACGGUCCUAAGGUAGCGAAAUUCCUUGUCGGGUAAGUUCCGACCUGCACGAAUGGCGUAAUGAUGGCCAGGCUGUCUCCACCCGAGACUCAGUGAAAUUGAACUCGCUGUGAAGAUGCAGUGUACCCGCGGCAAGACGGAAAGACCCCGUGAACCUUUACUAUAGCUUGACACUGAACAUUGAGCCUUGAUGUGUAGGAUAGGUGGGAGGCUUUGAAGCGUGGACGCCAGUCUGCGUGGAGCCGACCUUGAAAUACCACCCUUUAAUGUUUGAUGUUCUAACGUGGACCCGUAAUCCGGGUUGCGGACAGUGUCUGGUGGGUAGUUUGACUGGGGCGGUCUCCUCCUAAAGAGUAACGGAGGAGCACGAAGGUUGGCUAAUCCUGGUCGGACAUCAGGAGGUUAGUGCAAUGGCAUAAGCCAGCUUGACUGCGAGCGUGACGGCGCGAGCAGGUGCGAAAGCAGGUCAUAGUGAUCCGGUGGUUCUGAAUGGAAGGGCCAUCGCUCAACGGAUAAAAGGUACUCCGGGGAUAACAGGCUGAUACCGCCCAAGAGUUCAUAUCGACGGCGGUGUUUGGCACCUCGAUGUCGGCUCAUCACAUCCUGGGGCUGAAGUAGGUCCCAAGGGUAUGGCUGUUCGCCAUUUAAAGUGGUACGCGAGCUGGGUUUAGAACGUCGUGAGACAGUUCGGUCCCUAUCUGCCGUGGGCGCUGGAAGACUGAGGGGGGCUGCUCCUAGUACGAGAGGACCGGAGUGGACGCAUCACUGGUGUUCGGGUUGUCAUGCCAAUGGCACUGCCCGGUAGCUAAAUGCGGAAAAGAUAAGUGCUGAAAGCAUCUAAGCACGAAACUUGCCCC
Molecule: ribosomal RNA, 2602 nt
Filed under: Salmonella enterica subsp. diarizonae
Lineage: Bacteria; Pseudomonadati; Pseudomonadota; Gammaproteobacteria; Enterobacterales; Enterobacteriaceae
Description: partial 23S ribosomal RNA
Rfam family: Bacterial large subunit ribosomal RNA
Source: RNAcentral